This 503-nucleotide ribosomal RNA is filed under the name uncultured bacterium. RNAcentral describes it as "partial 16S ribosomal RNA". It matches the Rfam family "Bacterial small subunit ribosomal RNA", at positions 29 to 507 of the family's 1533-position model. The record is from RNAcentral.
AACGAACGCUGGCGGCGUGCCUAACACAUGCAAGUCGAACGAGAAAGGGGCUUCGGCUCCGAGUAAAGUGGCGCACGGGUGAGUAACACGGGGGUAACCUGCCUCUAAGAUUGGGAUAACUCGUCGAAAGAUGAGCUAAUACCGAAUAAGACCACAGUUCCCGCGGGAACAGGGGUCAAAGGUAGCCUCUGCUUGCAAGCUAUCACUUAGAGAUGGGCCUGCGCACCAUUAGCUAGUUGGUAGGGUAACGGCCUACCAAGGCAAAGAUGGUUAGCUGGUCUGAGAGGAUGAUCAGCCACACUAGAGCUGGGACACGGUCCAGACUCCUACGGGAGGCAGCAGUGGGGAAUAUUGCGCAAUGGGCGAAAGCUUGACGCAGCAACGCCGCGUGAGUGAUGAAGGCCUUCGGGUCGUAAAGCUCUGUCGGGAGGAACGAAUGCUCCUGAGGUUAACAGCCUCGGGAGGUGACGGUACCUUCAAAGGAAGCACCGGCUAACUCUGUG